This 352-nucleotide unclassified non-coding RNA is filed under the name soil metagenome. Its description in RNAcentral is "partial contains 5.8S ribosomal RNA, internal transcribed spacer 2, and large subunit ribosomal RNA". The stretch from base 1 to 120 matches the Rfam family "5.8S ribosomal RNA", at positions 35 to 154 of the family's 154-position model. The record is from RNAcentral.
GAUGAAGAACGUAGCGAAAUGCGAUAAGUAAUGUGAAUUGCAGAAUUCAGUGAAUCAUCGAAUCUUUGAACGCACAUUGCGCCCGCCAGUAUUCUGGCGGGCAUGCCUGUUCGAGCGUCAUUACAACCCUCAGGCCCCCGGGCCUGGCGUUGGGGAUCGGCGAGGCGCCCCCCGCGGGCACGCGCCGUCCCCCAAAUACAGUGGCGGUCCCGCCGCAGCUUCCAUUGCGUAGUAGCUAACACCUCGCAACUGGAGAGCGGCGCGGCCAUGCCGUAAAACACCCAACUUCUGAAUGUUGACCUCGAAUCAGGUAGGAAUACCCGCUGAACUUAAGCAUAUAAUAAGCGGAGGA